UACGUAGGGGGCAAGCGUUAUCCGGAAUUAUUGGGCGUAAAGGGUGCGUAGGCUGCCUUAUGGGUCAGAGGUUAAAGGCUACGGCUUAACCGUAGCAUGCCUUUGAAACUAUAGGGCUUGAGUGCAGGAGAGGAGAGUGGAAUUCCUAGUGUAGCGGUGAAAUGCGUAGAUAUUAGGAGGAAUACCAGUGGCGAAGGCGACUCUCUGGACUGCAACUGACGCUAAGGCACGAAAGCGUGGGUAGCGAACA
This 250-nucleotide ribosomal RNA is filed under the name uncultured bacterium. Its description in RNAcentral is "partial 16S ribosomal RNA". It matches the Rfam family "Bacterial small subunit ribosomal RNA", at positions 524 to 774 of the family's 1533-position model. The record is from RNAcentral.